Molecule: ribosomal RNA, 253 nt
Filed under: uncultured bacterium
Lineage: Bacteria
Description: partial 16S ribosomal RNA
Rfam family: Bacterial small subunit ribosomal RNA
Source: RNAcentral
UACAGAGGGGGCAAGCGUUGUUCGGAAUUACUGGGCGUAAAGGGCGCGUAGGCGGCCUUCUAAGUCGAACGUGAAAUCCCCGGGCUCAACCCGGGAACUGCGUCCGAUACUGGAAGGCUUGAAUCCGGGAGAGGGGUGCGGAAUUCCAGGUGUAGCGGUGAAAUGCGUAGAUAUCUGGAGGAACACCGGUGGCGGAGGCGGCAUCCUGGACCGGUAUUGACGCUGAGGCGCGAAAGCCAGGGGAGCAAACGGG